CUUGGUCAUUUAGAGGAAGUAAAAGUCGUAACAAGGUUUCCGUAGGUGAACCUGCGGAAGGAUCAUUACCUAGAGUUGUAGGCUUUGCCUGCUAUCUCUUACCCAUGUCUUUUGAGUACCUUACGUUUCCUCGGUGGGUUCGCCCACCGAUUGGACAAACUUAAACCCUUUGCAGUUGAAAUCAGCGUCUGAAAAAACUUAAUAGUUACAACUUUCAACAACGGAUCUCUUGGUUCUGGCAUCGAUGAAGAACGCAGCGAAAUGCGAUAAGUAGUGUGAAUUGCAGAAUUCAGUGAAUCAUCGAAUCUUUGAACGCACAUUGCGCCCCUUGGUAUUCCAUGGGGCAUGCCUGUUCGAGCGUCAUUUGUACCUUCAAGCUCUGCUUGGUGUUGGGUGUUUGUCUCCUGUAGACUCGCCUUAAAACAAUUGGCAGCCGGCGUGUUGAUUUCGGAGCGCAGUACAUCUCGCGCUUUGCACUCAUAACGACGACAUCCAAAAGUACAUUUUUACACUCU
This 515-nucleotide ribosomal RNA is filed under the name uncultured fungus. RNAcentral describes it as "eukaryotic LSU rRNA". The stretch from base 210 to 363 matches the Rfam family "5.8S ribosomal RNA". The record is from RNAcentral. Lineage: Eukaryota; Fungi.